GUGUGCGCUCACCGGAGCAUGCGCACAUCCGUCCGGGCAUGCGCGCCGCUACCUGACAGUGUUUUCCUUUAAAAUCCUGGAAGGAGGAGAGGAUGAGCUCAAGAGAAGAAAUUGGAGACAGAGGCCAGUCUGGUUAAAGAACUGCCUGGUGUCUGAGAUGGACUGGUUCAUUAUGAACAAGCAAUUCAAUCAUCGGGCGUGGGCACUGUCACUCAAUCCAGCUGGUGAGAAUGAGCACAGAGAAGAGUCUGGGAAGAGAGUGACAGUAGACUGGCAGCCUUUGUGAGGUCCCAGGAUCCUCCUGAGGGGCCUGAUUGAAGAUGGACUGCAAGUUCCCAAGGACUGGCCCACUCUCUUAAGCUAACAGAAUGAAGUCAGAUUAUCUCACACUGGAGCACAGGAGUCUUGCUUUUCUCAAAAUGUAGGGGAGUGACUUCGAGCUUCAGUGGCUGGUCUGGGAAAGCUCUAUAAUUUGAGGUUUCUAAGUAAUUUAACAUAGUCAUCCACACUGAAUCAUUUUCACUAAAAUAAGUUUGACAAUUAAAUUUAAAUUUGAGUAGAGAAAGAAAUUGUUAAGGAGAGGAAUUUUGUAUGUAAUUAAACAUGAAUUGUGUA
Non-coding RNA from Cricetulus griseus (Chinese hamster), 615 nucleotides. The record is from RefSeq and is a predicted model, not a curated record. Lineage: Eukaryota; Metazoa; Chordata; Mammalia; Rodentia; Cricetidae.